Molecule: ribosomal RNA, 272 nt
Filed under: uncultured bacterium
Lineage: Bacteria
Description: partial 16S ribosomal RNA
Rfam family: Bacterial small subunit ribosomal RNA
Source: RNAcentral
UACGGAGGGGGCUAGCGUUGUUCGGAAUUACUGGGCGUAAAGCGCACGUAGGCGGAACAGAAAGUCAGAGGUGAAAUCCCCAGGGCUCAACCUUGGAACUGCCUUUGAAACUCCUGUUCUUGAGGUCGAGAGAGGUGAGUGGAAUUCCGAGUGUAGAGGUGAAAUUCGUAGAUAUUCGGAGGAACACCAGUGGCGAAGGCGGCUCACUGGCUCGAUACUGACGCUGAGGUGCGAAAGCGUGGGGAGCAAACAGGAUUAGAUACCCGCGUAGU